Molecule: ribosomal RNA, 253 nt
Filed under: uncultured bacterium
Lineage: Bacteria
Description: partial 16S ribosomal RNA
Rfam family: Bacterial small subunit ribosomal RNA
Source: RNAcentral
UACGUAGGGUCCGAGCGUUGUCCGGAAUUACUGGGCGUAAAGAGCUCGUAGGUGGUUUGUCGCGUUGUUCGUGAAAACUCACAGCUCAACUGUGGGCGUGCGGGCGAUACGGGCAGACUUGAGUACUGCAGGGGAGACUGGAAUUCCUGGUGUAGCGGUGGAAUGCGUAGAUAUCUGGAGGAACACCGGUGGCGAAGGCGGCAUCCUGGACCAAUAUUGACGCUGAGGAGCGAAAGCUAGGGGAGCAAACGGG